UUCCGAUUUCUGUCUUUGUGUACGCUCCUCAUCCCUCAGGGGGUCUCCUGCACUGGACUCAGACCUCCUCAGAGACUUCAGCCUCCCUGGCAGUGGAGAUCAGCUCCUACGUUCUGCUGGCUUCCCUCAGUGCCUCCCCUCUGUCUGCCACUGACCUGGGCUAGUCACUCUAGUAACUGAUCAAUGUAAACAUCUACCCUUUUAGUAAAUGGGGUAUUUUCUUUCAUUUUGGACUGAUUUACCUGUGAUCUGUUGGGUGUAGUCCUCCAGGCCCUGACUCUCUACUUCACAUGGCUGUUCAGUAGAGAGGGCACCAGCACAGUGCGAGUACAGUCUCCCAGUGGGGGACAGCGCCUCUUCAAUGUGAACCAAAACAACAAGCUUCUUUACCAAGAGAGGGCGCUGCAGGACACAGAAUGGAAGUGAAGGACAGUGCUUGUGCCUCAGUGCACAUCAGUGAAAACACAUCUCUCCUCCCAAUCCAGUGGCGCUCCACUACAACAUCCCUACUCCUACUGACAGCACAACACUCAGUAUCCAGGUGAAGACAGAGGUGGACUGCAACAUCAACUCUUUGAGGCCCAGAGUCACGCUGAAACUCCAGUCUCAGAGUGGUGCGUCACUUGAGUGUGUUGAGUCGCUGACGUGAUCUUCCUGUUUGGGUUGGCGCCCCCCCUUGGUUUGUGCCGUGGCGGAGAUCUUUGUGGGCUAUACUCGGCCUUGUCUCAGGAUGGUAAGUUGGUGGUUGAAGAUAUCCCUCUAGUGGUGUGGGGGCUGUGCUUUGGCAAAGUGGGUGGGGUUAUAUCCUGCCUGUUUGGCCCUGUCCGGGGGUAUCAUCGGAUGGGGCCACAGUGUCUCCUGACCCGUCCUGUCUAAGCCUCCAGUAUUUAUGCUGCAGUAGUUUAUGUGUCAGGGGACUAGGGUCAGUCUGUUAUAUCUGGAGUACUUCUCCUGUCUUAUCCGGUGUCCUGUGUGAAUUUAAGUAUACUCUCUCUAAUUCUCUUUUUCUUUCUCUCUCUCUCUCUCGGAGGAUCUGAGCCCUAGGACCAUGCCUCAGAACUACCUGGCAUGAUGACUCCUUGCUGUCCCCAGUCCACCUGGCCGUGCUGCUGCUCCAGUUUCAACUGUUCUGCCUGCGGCUAUGGAACCCUUACCUGUUCACCGGACGUGCUACCUGUCCCAGACCUGCUGUUUUCAACUCUCUAGAGACAGCAGGAGCGAUAGAGAUACUCUCAAUGAUCGGCUAUGAAAAGCCAACUGACAUUUACUCCUGAGGUUCUGACUUGUUGCACCCUCGACAACUACUGUGAUUAUUAUUAUUUGACCAUGCUGGUCAUUUAUGAACAUUUGAACAUCUUGGCGACGUUCUGUUAUAAUCUCCACCCGGCACAGCCAGAAGAGGACUGGCCACCCAUCAUAGCCUGGUUCCUCUCUAGGUUUCUUCCUAGGUUCCGGCCUUUCUAUGGAGUUUUUCCUAGCCACCGUGCUUCUACACCUGCAUUGCUUGCUGUUUGGGGUUUUAGGCUGGGUUUCUGUACAGCAUUUUGAGAUAUCAGCUGAUUUACCAUCACUAUUGCCUUUCAACCACACCCUGGACAUCAUACAGGAGCUCCCAGUACAAAAUCUAAAGCCAGCGGUGGUCAAGAUCUACGACUACUACCAUCCAAGUGACCAGGCAGAGACGGUCUUCCCUUGCAAAUAUAAGAAGAAUUACAUUCACAGAGGUCACACCUGCAACCCCUGAGAUAUAUUUUAAGCUCUAAAGUAAAAUAUGUAACUGGAAUUAAAGUUUUCCAUUAUAA
Salvelinus fontinalis (brook trout) is the source of this 1802-nucleotide long non-coding RNA. RefSeq lists it as uncharacterized. The transcript is spliced from 6 exons. Lineage: Eukaryota; Metazoa; Chordata; Actinopteri; Salmoniformes; Salmonidae. The record is from RefSeq and is a predicted model, not a curated record.